Molecule: ribosomal RNA, 460 nt
Filed under: uncultured bacterium
Lineage: Bacteria
Description: partial 16S ribosomal RNA
Rfam family: Bacterial small subunit ribosomal RNA
Source: RNAcentral
CCUACGGGUGGCAGCAGUGAGGAAUAUCGGUCAAUGGACGAGAGUCUGAACCAGCCAAGUAGCGUGAAGGAUGACUGCCCUAUGGGUUGUAAACUUCUUUUAUAUGGGAAUAAAAUGUUCCACGUGUGGGAUUUUGUAUGUACCAUAUGAAUAAGGAUCGGCUAACUCCGUGCCAGCAGCCGCGGUAAUACGGAGGAUCCGAGCGUUAUCCGGAUUUAUUGGGUUUAAAGGGAGCGUAGGUGGAUUGUUAAGUCAGUUGUGAAAGUUUGCGGCUCAACCGUAAAAUUGCAGUUGAAACUGGCAGUCUUGAGUACAGUAGAGGUGGGCGGAAUUCGUGGUGUAGCGGUGAAAUGCUUAGAUAUCACGAAGAACUCCGAUUGCGAAGGCAGUUCACUGGACUGCAACUGACACUGAGGCUCGAAAGUGUGGGUAUCAAACAGGAUUAGAUACCCGUGUAGUC